This is a long non-coding RNA of Gossypium arboreum, 733 nucleotides long. RefSeq lists it as uncharacterized. The transcript is spliced from 2 exons. Lineage: Eukaryota; Viridiplantae; Streptophyta; Magnoliopsida; Malvales; Malvaceae. The record is from RefSeq and is a predicted model, not a curated record.
AUUACCUUAAAAUUUUUUCAACUCGAUUCAAUUUGAUUUGAUCGAAUGCGGAACCUAAUGUUAAUCAUUAUGCUUAAUAUUUUGUAUGCUAACUAAUGGGUUUAGGGUGUGCAUGGCUUUUGGCUGGGUGGCCAGUUGCAAACAUGGGAAACUGGUCAAUGAUUGUUCCCACUGUUAUCAUCUAAUUUUAAUUAAAAAUGGUUUUUCUUGGGAAAAAGGGAUGGGACGGUGAGAAAGAAAAUAAAAAAAAAAAAAGGAAAGAGGGGUGAGAGCUUCAUCUUCUUCUUGUUUAGUUUAGCCACUGGAAUAGGGAGGAAAGGUUGUGAAUAGCGGCUGCAUGGGGGAAGAAAUCCUCGAUUUGGAAGCAUUUCGCUAAAGGAGGUGAAGAGGACAGUAGCAAAAAAGAAGGGAAAAGUUGGAAGCUAGGUUCGGCUUUGGGAGAAAAUUUCCUGUUAGCACACGGCCGCGUGUCACUCAUGAGCUGGUGACACUGUCACUGUGAGUUACAUUGCCUGAACACACGACCAUGUGACCCAUUUUUUGCAUAAUUACCUUAUUCUUUUGAAAAUGUUACAAUUUAAUCCUUGUUUAUUUUCGGAGCUUUCAUAAUCUAAAUUUUAAGCCCGAUUUUGUUUGCAAAACUUGAUUUAUGUGAAUGUAAGCGAUUAUUCAAUGUUUAAUUGAAUUUUGGAGUUUACAAGUCAGGAAUUUGAAGAUGCAUAUGUGACAACCA